RNAcentral lists this ribosomal RNA (567 nucleotides) under uncultured Nectriaceae. RNAcentral describes it as "eukaryotic LSU rRNA". The stretch from base 199 to 352 matches the Rfam family "5.8S ribosomal RNA". The record is from RNAcentral. Lineage: Eukaryota; Fungi; Ascomycota; Sordariomycetes; Hypocreales; Nectriaceae.
UUUAGAGGAAGUAAAAGUCGUAACAAGGUCUCCGUUGGUGAACCAGCGGAGGGAUCAUUACCGAGUUUACAACUCCCAAACCCCUGUGAACAUACCUAUUUGUUGCCUCGGCGGUGCCUGUUCCGACAGCCCGCCAGAGGACCCCAAACCCUGAUUACAUUUAAGAAGUCUUCUGAGUAAACCGAUUAAAUAAAUCAAAACUUUCAACAACGGAUCUCUUGGUUCUGGCAUCGAUGAAGAACGCAGCGAAAUGCGAUAAGUAAUGUGAAUUGCAGAAUUCAGUGAAUCAUCGAAUCUUUGAACGCACAUUGCGCCCGCUAGUAUUCUGGCGGGCAUGCCUGUCCGAGCGUCAUUUCAACCCUCAAGCCCCCGGGCUUGGUGUUGGGGAUCGGCGAGCCUCCGCGCCCGCCGUCCCCUAAAUCUAGUGGCGGUCUCGCUGUAGCUUCCUCUGCGUAGUAGCACACCUCGCACUGGGAAACAGCGCGGCCACGCCGUUAAACCCCCAACUUCUGAACGUUUGACCUCGGAUCAGGUAGGAAUACCCGCUGAACUUAAGCAUAUCAAUAA